AUCAAUUUCACAGAACAGAGGUAAAUUUCAGUGGUCGAUUCAAUUAACCAAUCCCAAGUCAUUAAGAAAUUCAGAAAUCAAAACAAGUUUAAGCUCAGAGAAAUCAAAAUUCAACCCCAAAAAGUUCAGAUUGUUAGAUAUACGUUUACUUUAAUGAUGCAAAAUAACAUAAAUUUUAUGUGCAGAAAUACUCCGGAAGCAAUGGAAAGGAUGACUAUCAAAGAAUAGAGAUGAAAAAGGAGGAGUAGCGGAAAAUCAAUCAAGGAUUUGACAGCAGAUUAACGGAGAAUAUUAUAGGAAGGACCUAAAUUAAAGAAAGUCAAGAUUGCAGAACUAUGCACUAAAGAUUCCUCCAUCAAAGGAAGACAGUUAAAAACCGGAAUCAAGGGAUCUAAUUUUGAUUGAUAAAAUAACGGAAAGAUCUACUUAGCAAAGGAAAAGUCCAAUCAAGACCACAAGUCAAGGCAAAUCAACAGAAGCAACACCUUAUUCUUGGAAAGAAUCACUCUACGAUUCCUUUCAAGGAUCAACUCCCUUGGGUUCAAUCUCUCAAGAUUCAUAUCAAUCAAGAGUCAAGAAGACCUCACAGAGUAUAUAUACAUAUGUACCAAUCUUGAAGCUAUAUACUUUGAUCAAACAAACUUCGUGCUCUUUGUUUUACUCUAAAUAAGCAUUGUAAUAUAAGUGAAGUUUACCAUGUAAUCAGUAGAGAGAAAAAGAGAGAAAAACAUUGGUGAGACAUUGUAUCGAAAAUAUCACGAGCGUACUUAAAUCCAAAAGUGAGUUGGUGUCCGG
RNAcentral lists this long non-coding RNA (795 nucleotides) under Nicotiana tabacum (common tobacco). RNAcentral describes it as "long non-coding RNA (NTAB_LNC014367)". The record is from RNAcentral. Lineage: Eukaryota; Viridiplantae; Streptophyta; Magnoliopsida; Solanales; Solanaceae.